RNAcentral lists this ribosomal RNA (402 nucleotides) under uncultured prokaryote. RNAcentral describes it as "partial 16S ribosomal RNA". The record is from RNAcentral.
CCCUAUGGGGUGCGCAGGCAAGCUGCAGAAACCACCUAAAAAGCCGGCCGCCAAGGCUAUUACGAAGACAUACGUCAACAAAUGCGAGCCCGAGAGAUUUAAUGUGCUGGCCGAAAUUGCAACCAGGCCAAGUAAGAGGUACAUGCUAACAAACGGGAUGUUUACAGCAAAGAAGUACCGCUUUUUUCGCCAGAAACAACGUGAAAUCCAGGGUGAAAGGAAUAUUCCAAACAGAGCCAUAAACUGCGAGCCGUUCACAACGCCUAUCAUGGAAUUGGACGCAUUGAGAUAAACCAAGAACGGCUGCAGUGCUAACUGUAUAUCCGCAGAACCAAUUCCAUACGCCGAACCAAGUAAGACCAGCAGUUUAACAUUGCGAUUAAUUUCAUUAGGCGGGAGGGC